RNAcentral lists this ribosomal RNA (312 nucleotides) under uncultured bacterium. RNAcentral describes it as "bacterial SSU rRNA". It matches the Rfam family "Bacterial small subunit ribosomal RNA", at positions 28 to 334 of the family's 1533-position model. The record is from RNAcentral.
GACGAACGCUGGCGGCGCGCCUAACACAUGCAAGUCGAACGAGAGAGAGGAAGCUUGCUUCCUUAAUCGAGUGGCGAACGGGUGAGUAACGCGUGAGGAACCUGCCUCAAAGAGGGGGACAACAGUUGGAAACGACUGCUAAUACCGCAUAAGACCACAGUGUCGCAUGGCACAGGGGUCAAAGGAUUUAUCCGCUGAAAGAUGGGCUCGCGUCCGAUUAGCUAGAUGGUGAGGUAACGGCCCACCAUGGCGACGAUCGGUAGCCGGACUGAGAGGUUGAACGGCCACAUUGGGACUGGAGACACGGCCCAG